GUUCGAUUGGGGAGACCGUGAUGGAAAAACAGUGACUAAGGUAGUGAGAUGUUUGAAAGAGCGACCUGUGACUGUGAGUGCUAGUAUGGUGGUGAACAUGACUGACCUCCACACCUUUGCAUGUACUAACAAUUCAGUAAUACAGAUAUGGUUGUCACUUGUAACUAAUAUGGGGAUGAAGCCAAGGGUUUCUGCUGACAAUCUGGUCCGUCUUCCAGCUACAUGUCAGAAUGUUUCUACCAAAGUGGGCCUCCAUGUGAGAUAUCAAAUGCUGUUCCCAGAAAUACCUAAAUGUAAGCCCUGUUCCAGACCAAAGAGAGAAUGGUAUGAAACUUUG
Non-coding RNA from Pelobates cultripes (western spadefoot toad), 337 nucleotides. The record is from the annotation of a GenBank genome assembly. Lineage: Eukaryota; Metazoa; Chordata; Amphibia; Anura; Pelobatidae.